GCAUAUCAAUAAGCGGAGGAAAAGAAACUAACAAGGAUUCCCCUAGUAACUGCGAGUGAAGCGGGAAAAGCUCAAAUUUAAAAUCUGGCGGUCUUUGGCCGUCCGAGUUGUAAUCUAGAGAAGUGUUACCCGCGCCGGACCGUGUAUAAGUCUCCUGGAAUGGAGCGUCAUAGAGGGUGAGAAUCCCGUCUUUGACACGGACUCCCGGGGCAUUUGUGGUGCGCUCUCAAAGAGUCGAGUUGUUUGGGAAUGCAGCUCAAAAUGGGUGGUAAAUUCCAUCUAAAGCUAAAUAUUGGCGAGAGACCGAUAGCGAACAAGUACCGUGAGGGAAAGAUGAAAAGAACUUUGGAAAGAGAGUUAAACAGUACGUGAAAUUGCUGAAAGGGAAACGC
Molecule: ribosomal RNA, 392 nt
Filed under: fungal sp. Cul16
Lineage: Eukaryota; Fungi
Description: eukaryotic LSU rRNA
Rfam family: Eukaryotic large subunit ribosomal RNA
Source: RNAcentral